RNAcentral lists this ribosomal RNA (474 nucleotides) under uncultured bacterium. Its description in RNAcentral is "bacterial SSU rRNA". It matches the Rfam family "Bacterial small subunit ribosomal RNA", at positions 30 to 500 of the family's 1533-position model. The record is from RNAcentral.
AUUGAACGCUGGCGGAAUGCUUUACACAUGCAAGUCGAACGGUAGAGGGGGCAACCCCUUGAGAGCGGCGAACGGGUGAGUAAUGUAUCGGAACGUGCCCAGUCGUGGGGGAUAACGUAGUGAAAAUUACGCUAAUACCGCAUACGAUCUAUGGAUGAAAGCGGGGGAUCGCAAGACCUCGCGCGAUUGGAGCGGCCGAUAUCAGAUUAGGUAGUUGGUGGGGUAAAGGCUCACCAAGCCAACGAUCUGUAGCUGGUCUGAGAGGACGACCAGCCACACUGGAACUGAGACACGGUCCAGACUCCUACGGGAGGCAGCAGUGGGGAAUUUUGGACAAUGGACGAAAGUCUGAUCCAGCCAUUCCGCGUGCAGGACGAAGGCCUUCGGGUUGUAAACUGCUUUUGUACGGAACGAAAAGGCUCUUCUUAAUACGGAGGGCUCAUGACGGUACCGUAAGAAUAAGCACCGGGCUAA